GGCUUGUUGAUUUUAAUUUCAGGUUAGGCCUGCCCAAUGAUUGUUUGAAUGGCCGCGGUAUAYUGACCGUGCAAAGGUAGCAUAAUCAUUAGUUUUUUAAUUGARAGCUUGUAUGAAAGGUUUAAUGAAAAAAUUUCUGUCUCUGAAGUAAUUUAUUAGAAUUUUAUUUUUAAGUUAAAAAGCUUAAAUUUUUAUAGAAGACGAGAAGACCCUAUAGAGUUUAAUAUUUAUUUGAUGAAUAAAUUAGGAGUAUAAAAAAUUUAUUUGUUAAGUAAGUAUUUCGUUGGGGUGAUGAAAAAAUUAAUUAAACUUUUUUUGUAUAAGAGUACAUUGAUUUGUGAGUAUUUGAUCUUGAAGUUUGGAUUAUAAGAUGGAAUUACCUUAGGGAUAACAGCGUGAUUUUUUUAAGAGUUCUUAUCGAAAAGAAAGAUUGCGACCUCGAUGUUGGAUUAAAAUUAAUUAGUGGUGUAGAAGCUACAUGAAAUURGGUCUGUUCGACCUUUAAAAUUUUACAUGAUCUGAGUUUAGACCGGUGUGAG
RNAcentral lists this ribosomal RNA (539 nucleotides) under Trigonopterus sp. 991 AR-2022a. RNAcentral's name for it is "partial large subunit ribosomal RNA". Lineage: Eukaryota; Metazoa; Arthropoda; Insecta; Coleoptera; Curculionidae. The record is from RNAcentral.